AGACAAAUGGUAAGAUUUGUCUCAUGUCGCUACUGAAAAUGGUCUGAGCCAUGGAGAGAGCUAUGUCUGGACGCAUGUUGAAGAGAGUCCUGCUGAAUUCUUGAACGGCUACCGAGUCCAAGUCUCCACCUACCACCAGUGGAGCGAAACCUAAGCACCACGCUUUGUAGUUGCUUCGUAUCGCUUCAAAAAGCUGGUUUAGGUCUUCUUGCUCGAAUCCACCUUGGAUAAUUCAGACAAGAGAAGGAACAUGGAUGUACUUUUGUCCAAGUUAUGUCCCAAAACGAGACAUAAAUGCAAAAGAUCUCGAAGCAUACCUUGGGGAAGCAGAAACCAUGACGAUUUUGGAGAAGAGGUCAGGUCGGUUAAGAGAAGCCAAGACACCAACCAUCGCGGAAAGAGAGUGACCGACAAAGAUACAAGACUCGAUUUGAAGGUCUUCUAAGAUUGCAAGCAAAUCAAAGGCGAAACCUUCGAGAGUUGAGUAACGAUCAAAGUCGAAAUAUUCCGGAUUGGUCGUACCGGCUCCCAUGUUGUCGUAGAGCACGAUGCGGUAAUCGUCGACCAGAUGUGGAACCAGGUGUUUCCAUACUGACUGGUCCGUACCGAACCCGUGACCUAAUACGAUCGUCCCUUUAUUUCCUGAUCCAAUCACCUUCACGUUGUGAGCUUCCUCUGUUACACCCAUCUCUCUCUAGACGCUAUAAAAUCUUCUCUACCUUUAGAAAAUUCGUUUUAAAGCGUUUGUUACUUUUAAAACGAAUUCGUUUUCACUUUUAUAAAACACGAUGAUUAUUUUUAUGCGCAAUAAAUCAGAUGCAUGUACACGUUGUUAAUUAAAAAAAGUCUUUAAAAAAUGUGCAUGCUGAUUAUCAGGCGGUAGACUGAUAUAUAUGAAAAUAAUAAUAUCGCUCAUUAUCAAAAAAAUAUAUAUAUAUAUCUCUCAUUAUCCUGAUACACGUGGGGACGGUAAAUUGCACCACACACGCACCUAUGUAUAAAUUCACUACAGUAAAAUCCCAUAUAUAUUAUAUAAAAUCGAUAUAUUUAUAUACUGGAUUCCUUAUUUAUAUACCAAAUAAUAAUGCCAAGAUAGGCAUGGGACCACGUAAUCACAUGGUGUUGAUAUCUGUGAGGACACAUGCCAAUGCCAAUGCCAAUAACCAACUUAAAGCCAUUUAAUUUAAUUGCGAAAACUUGUUUGAAAUAUCUUUGGCUUUAUUUUAGUUGCAAAAAAUUCUAGGCGAACCAUGAUCUUUUUGGAAAAGGAACAAAAGUCAAUGGCGAAGGAACAAAAGUCAGUUGCGUCGCCAAAAAAAGGUAGAGAUGUCUUGACGUCACAUAAGCAAACCUUGGACCUACGACCAUCACUGUCCAUCUCAUGGGAUAGAGCCAUGGCUUACUUCAAAUCCAGAUGCUUGAGUGUUUUUGACAUGGCUACAUGACUUCUUGGUCACUUGUUACCUUUUUUUCAGUUAUAUAGAACGUUUAUCAGGAUUUUAGGAUUGGCCAUCCCAUUUUCGGUUUGGUUUCAAAAGUCUCCAGUUUAUAAUUAUCAAAUCUACAAACCAAAUAAUUAUUACUUGUCUCGGUUGUAUAUAUAGGUUUGGUUUCAGUUCAGUAGAACUUUCAGUUUGAAGUCAGUUAAGGUUUGUAACUUGUAUAUAGAAAAAUGGAAACCGAGUCAGAUUGAUUUUGGAUCGGUUAUUUCAAGGUA
Molecule: long non-coding RNA, 1717 nt
Organism: Brassica rapa (field mustard)
Lineage: Eukaryota; Viridiplantae; Streptophyta; Magnoliopsida; Brassicales; Brassicaceae
Source: RefSeq, a predicted model, not a curated record